AUACGUAGGGGGCGAGCGUUGUCCGGAAUGAUUGGGCGUAAAGGGCGCGUAGGCGGCCUGUUAAGUCUGGAGUGAAAGUCCUGUUUUCAAGAUGGGAAUUGCUUUGGAUACUGAUGGGCUUGAGUGCAGGAGAGGUUAUCGGAAUUCCCGGUGUAGCGGUGAAAUGCGUAGAGAUUGGGAGGAACACCAGUGGCGAAGGCGACUUACUGGACUGUAACUGACGCUGAGGCGCGAAAGUGUGGGGAGCAAACAGGAUUAGAUACCCUGGUAGUCCACACUGUAAACGAUGAAUGCUAGGUGUAGGGGGUAUCGACCCCUUCUGUGCCGCAGUCAACACAAUAAGCAUUCCGCCUGGGGAGUACGGCCGCAAGGUUGAAACUCAAAUGAAUUGACGGGG
Molecule: ribosomal RNA, 397 nt
Filed under: uncultured bacterium
Lineage: Bacteria
Description: partial 16S ribosomal RNA
Rfam family: Bacterial small subunit ribosomal RNA
Source: RNAcentral